AGAGCGAACGCUGGCGGCAGGCCUAACACAUGCAAGUCGAACGGACCCUUCGGGGUUAGUGGCGGACGGGUGAGUAACACGUGGGAACGUGCCUUUAGGUUCGGAAUAGCUCCUGGAAACGGGUGGUAAUGCCGAAUGUGCCCUUCGGGGGAAAGAUUUAUCGCCUUUAGAGCGGCCCGCGUCUGAUUAGCUUGUUGGUGAGGUAAUGGCUCACCAAGGCUACGAUCAGUAGCUGGUCUGAGAGGAUGACCAGCCACAUUGGGACUGAGACACGGCCCAAACUCCUACGGGAGGCAGCAGUGGGAAUCUUGCGCAAUGGGCGAAAGCCUGACGCAGCCAUGCCGCGUGUAUGAUGAAGGUCUUAGGAUUGUAAAAUACUUUCACCGGUGAAGAUAAUGACUGUAGCCGGAGAAGAAGCCCCGGACUAACUUCGUGUCCAGCAGCCGC
RNAcentral lists this ribosomal RNA (447 nucleotides) under uncultured soil bacterium. RNAcentral describes it as "bacterial SSU rRNA". It matches the Rfam family "Bacterial small subunit ribosomal RNA", at positions 26 to 518 of the family's 1533-position model. The record is from RNAcentral.